Molecule: ribosomal RNA, 495 nt
Filed under: uncultured bacterium
Lineage: Bacteria
Description: partial 16S ribosomal RNA
Rfam family: Bacterial small subunit ribosomal RNA
Source: RNAcentral
GACGAACGCUGGCGGCGUGCCUAAUACAUGCCAGUAGAACGCUGAAGGAGGAGCUUGCUUCUCCGGAUGAGUUGCGAACGGGUGAGUAACGCGUAGGUAACCUGCCUGGUAGCGGGGGAUAACUAUUGGAAACGAUAGCUAAUACCGCAUAACAGUAGAUGUUGCAUGACAUUUGCUUAAAAGGUGCAAUUGCAUCACUACCAGAUGGACCUGCGUUGUAUUAGCUAGUUGGUGAGGUAACGGCUCACCAAGGCGACGAUACAUAGCCGACCUGAGAGGGUGAUCGGCCACACUGGGACUGAGACACGGCCCAGACUCCUACGGGAGGCAGCAGUAGGGAAUCUUCGGCAAUGGACGGAAGUCUGACCGAGCAACGCCGCGUGAGUGAAGAAGGUUUUCGGAUCGUAAAGCUCUGUUGUAAGAGAAGAACGAGUGUGAGAGUGGAAAGUUCACACUGUGACGGUAUCUUACCAGAAAGGGACGGCUAACUACGUG